CGGACGGGUGAGUAACACGUAGAGAACCUACCUUACACAGGGGGACAACGGCUGGAAACGGCUGCUAAUACCGCAUAAGCACCCAGUUUCGCAUGAAACAGAGUGAAAAGAGUAAAUCGGUGUAAGAUGGCUCUGCGUCUGAUUAGCUAGUUGGUGGGGUAAAGGCUCACCAAGGCGACGAUCAGUAGCCGGCCUGAGAGGGCGACCGGCCACAUUGGGACUGAGACACGGCCCAGACCCCUACGGAAGGCAGCAG
Molecule: ribosomal RNA, 256 nt
Filed under: uncultured bacterium
Lineage: Bacteria
Description: partial 16S ribosomal RNA
Rfam family: Bacterial small subunit ribosomal RNA
Source: RNAcentral